RNAcentral lists this ribosomal RNA (394 nucleotides) under uncultured bacterium. RNAcentral describes it as "partial 16S ribosomal RNA". It matches the Rfam family "Bacterial small subunit ribosomal RNA", at positions 523 to 918 of the family's 1533-position model. The record is from RNAcentral.
AUACGGAGGAUGCAAGCGUUAUCCGGAUUUAUUGGGUUUAAAGGGUGCGUAGGCGGAUGAUUAAGCGUGAGGUGAAAUGCCACUGCUCAACAGUGGAACUGCCUCGCGAACUGGUUGUCUUGAAUGCUCCUGCCGUGGGAGGAAUGUGUGGUGUAGCGGUGAAAUGCAUAGAGAUCACACAGAACACCGAUUGCGAAGGCAUCUCACGAAGGGGUGAUUGACGCUGAGGCACGAAAGCGUGGGGAUCAAACAGGAUUAGAUACCCUGGUAGUCCACGCAGUAAACGAUGAUAACUAACCGCUGGGUCGUAGUGAUUCAGUGGCCAAGCGAAAGCGAUAAGUUAUCCACCUGGGGAGUACGACCACAAGGUUGAAACUCAAAGGAAUUGACGGGG